Harmonia axyridis is the source of this 985-nucleotide long non-coding RNA. RefSeq lists it as uncharacterized. The transcript has 2 exons. The record is from RefSeq and is a predicted model, not a curated record. Lineage: Eukaryota; Metazoa; Arthropoda; Insecta; Coleoptera; Coccinellidae.
AUACUUAGCAUUUGGCAAAUUCUGCAAAUUUUGAUCUGAAAAAUUCAUUGUGAUAAUUUUUCUCUACGAUUCAAAAAAUUAAAAGUUAGGGGAAUUUGUAUGUGUGUCAAUCUGCCUUAAACAUUUCAAUGAGUUUCAAAAGUCGUAAAAUUAUAGCUUAAAUUAACAGAACCACAAUUUUUUGCAUUCAGUUAGUUUUAUUUAUCAACGCUGACCUUGACUCAAACAAAACUUAAUGUAGGUUAGAUCCGUCAAUAUCCGCAGGAGUUUUAUCAUCAAUUAAACAGUUGUAAAUCCCGAAGUUCAGAUACAUGCUUCAUCUUCGCUGAAUCCUUUGAGAAUGAGAAAUUCAAAUACGGUAUCACGGUAUUCCCCCUAUCAAACAACUCGAGAUAGAUAUAAAUUGCAGUAACAUUGCAGAUAGUGGCAUACAUCCAUUAGGAACUGAAUUCAAAGAACAAGCAAAAGGAAACUCAUAAUUUUCGAAAUGGCAUCUUCAUCAUUCUUGCUUAUUGCCGCAGUUGCCUGCAUUUCCUUCCAAUACACUUUGGCUUAUCCCAUGGAGGAAGUUGACUUAGAUGAAGAACCACUUUUCGAAUAUGUUGUUCCCGAGGGGCCUCAAAUAUAUGAUCACCUACGAUACGCCAGAUCACUUCAACCUGGAGCCCCAAACUUCCCAAUGCCUGGUCAAGGAAAACAGGAAGGGUGGAAAUUUGACCCAUCACUCACAAGAGGUGAAGAUGGUAACACCUUAGGUUCUAUCAACAUUCAUCACACUGGACGUAACCAUGAAGUAGGAGCCAACUGGGAUAAAGUAAUCAGAGGACCAGGCAAAGCUAAGCCAACUUACUCCAUUCACGGCAGUUGGAGAUGGUGAAGAUUAUGAACCAUCAUAUUUGUGAUUUUUUCCUCAAUACGCUUAUUAUUAUUUAUUUAUUGUUACUGUUCCUAUUUUAUUGAAUAAAUUACCUUGACGUAAUAUGUA